RNAcentral lists this unclassified non-coding RNA (327 nucleotides) under soil metagenome. RNAcentral describes it as "partial contains 5.8S ribosomal RNA, internal transcribed spacer 2, and large subunit ribosomal RNA". The stretch from base 1 to 120 matches the Rfam family "5.8S ribosomal RNA", at positions 35 to 154 of the family's 154-position model. The record is from RNAcentral.
GAUGAAGAACGUAGCGAAAUGCGAUAAGUAAUGCGAAUUGCAGAAUUCAGUGAGUCAUCGAAUCUUUGAACGCACAUUGCGCCCCUUGGUAUUCCGAGGGGCAUGCCUGUUCGAGCGUCAUUUUGACCACUCCCGCUUGCGGGGUCUUGGGCCUUCGCCUCUGGGCGGGCCUUAAAAUCAGUGGCGGUGCCGUCCGGCUCUAAGCGUAGUAAAUCUCCUCGCUAUAGGGUUCCGGAGGGAUGCUGGCCAACAACCCCCAACUUUUAAGGUUGACCUCGGAUCAGGUAGGGAUACCCGCUGAACUUAAGCAUAUCAAUAAGCGGAGGA